RNAcentral lists this ribosomal RNA (491 nucleotides) under uncultured bacterium. RNAcentral describes it as "partial 16S ribosomal RNA". It matches the Rfam family "Bacterial small subunit ribosomal RNA", at positions 29 to 506 of the family's 1533-position model. The record is from RNAcentral.
AGUGAACGCUGGCGGUAGGCCUAACACAUGCAAGUCGAACGGCAGCACAGUAAGAGCUUGCUCUUACGGGUGGCGAGUGGCGGACGGGUGAGGAAUACAUCGGAAUCUACUUUUUCGUGGGGGAUAACGUAGGGAAACUUACGCUAAUACCGCAUACGACCUACGGGUGAAAGCAGGGGAUCUUCGGACCUUGCGCGAUUGAAUGAGCCGAUGUCGGAUUAGCUAGUUGGCGGGGUAAAGGCCCACCAAGGCGACGAUCCGUAGCUGGUCUGAGAGGAUGAUCAGCCACACUGGAACUGAGACACGGUCCAGACUCCUACGGGAGGCAGCAGUGGGGAAUAUUGGACAAUGGGCGCAAGCCUGAUCCAGCCAUACCGCGUGGGUGAAGAAGGCCUUCGGGUUGUAAAGCCCUUUUGUUGGGGAAGAAAAGCAGCAGGUUAAUACCCCGCUGUUCUGACGGUACCCAAAGAAUAAGCACCGGCUAACUGCGU